This 301-nucleotide ribosomal RNA is filed under the name uncultured bacterium. RNAcentral describes it as "partial 16S ribosomal RNA". It matches the Rfam family "Bacterial small subunit ribosomal RNA", at positions 509 to 808 of the family's 1533-position model. The record is from RNAcentral.
CAGUCGCCACGGUAAUACGUAUGUCACGAGCGUUAUCCGGAUUUAUUGGGCGUAAAGCGCGUCAAGGUGGUUAUAUAAGUCUGAUGUGAAAAUGCAGGGCUCAACUCUGUAUUGCGUUGGAAACUGUAUAACUAGAGUACUGGAGAGGUAAGCGGAACUACAAGUGUAGAGGUGAAAUUCGUAGAUAUUUGUAGGAAUGCCGAUGGGGAAGCCAGCUUACUGGACAGAUACUGACGCUGAAGCGCGAAAGCGUGGGUAGCAAACAGGUUUAGAUACCCCCGUAGUCCCUGUCUCUUAUACA